This 759-nucleotide ribosomal RNA is filed under the name Triticum aestivum (bread wheat). RNAcentral describes it as "partial small subunit ribosomal RNA". The record is from RNAcentral. Lineage: Eukaryota; Viridiplantae; Streptophyta; Magnoliopsida; Poales; Poaceae.
AUGAACUCAUGCAGUUUCUCCUGGGAUGAGAAUCCAUCAAAACCAACUCUAAACAAUAUAAAUCUGGUGGUGAAAGCUGGAGAAAAGGUUGCAAUUUGUGGAGAGGUAGGAUCAGGGAAGUCAACGCUUUUGGCUGCUGUACUUGGAGAGGUCCCCAAAACUGAAGGCACGAUUGAAGUCUGUGGGAAAAUAGCAUAUGUUUCUCAGACUGCAUGGAUCCAAACAGGAACUGUACAGGAUAAUAUCCUCUUCGGAUCUUUGAUGGACAGACAGAUAUACCAAGAAACAAUUGAGAGAUGCUCAUUGGUCAAGGACCUUGAAAUGCUGCCAUUCGGCGACCGUACACAAAUUGGGGAGAGAGGAGUAAAUCUAAGUGGUGGUCAGAAGCAGCGUGUUCAGCUUGCUCGUGCACUAUACCAGAAUGCAGACAUAUAUCUUCUUGAUGACCCUUUCAGUGCCGUUGAUGCCCAUACAGCAACAAGCCUCUUCAAUGAUUAUGUCAUGGGUGUUCUAUCUGACAAGACUGUUCUUUUGGUCACCCACCAAGUGGAUUUUCUACCUGUAUUUGACUCCAUUCUGUUAAUGUCAGAUGGGGAGGUUAUUCGGUCUGCACCUUAUCUAGAUUUAUUGGCAGAUUGCCAAGAAUUCAAGUACCUUGUAAAUGCACAUAAAGAUACUGUCGGUGUUCAAGAUCCUAACAGUAUGCCCCCCACGGAGCAAAGGAAAUACCAACAAAGGAGACAGAUGGAAUUCAUGUAA